Molecule: transfer RNA, 87 nt
Filed under: Candidatus Harrisonbacteria bacterium CG10_big_fil_rev_8_21_14_0_10_38_8
Lineage: Bacteria; Candidatus Harrisoniibacteriota
Description: tRNA-Leu
Rfam family: tRNA
About the family: Transfer RNA (tRNA) molecules are approximately 80 nucleotides in length. Their secondary structure includes four short double-helical elements and three loops (D, anti-codon, and T loops).
Source: RNAcentral
GCCCGGGUGGUGGAAUUGGUAGACACGCAGCACUCAAAAUGCUGUGAGGGUAACUUCGUGCGAGUUCGAGUCUCGCCUCGGGCACCU